CGGGGACCCAGCUCCUCCCGCAGCGCUGCGCCCCGGCGGGGAAGCGGGGCGGAGACAGCGGCGUUCGCAGCAGGGAUGCGGUGCCCGCCCCGCCUUCGUGACCUGGGGUGAACAGCGCCUUCGGUUACUAGGGGACCCCCGCGGCUGGGAGCGGACCCCGCGCUCAGGGCUGGCCGGGUCCGCGGACCCAGGGGAGCUGGGAGGCUGCACCAGGCCGCCUGGGCGCCGCACGGCCGCACCGCCAGCAGGGAGACUGCGCCUCUGUGCCUCACAGCACCGCGCGCCGGAGGAGGGAACACAGGCCCUCAGGUGAAGGAAGAAAAAUGCAUUUAAAAUGCAGGAAAGAGCACCGCGCCGUGAGUCCCACGACCUCACAGGAGGUUCACACCACGUUCCCUCCGACGGCCUGCGCGGCGCCGUCCCCGGUCCGGUCCUGCAGACCCGCUUUGCAGAAGGCACCGGCGAGUCCGUCUCCGGGAUCCCGCUUCAUAGCCACCGCUCUGUUGGAGAGUGACCACAGGGAACGGACCCGGACUGCGGCUGUGACAGAGCGAGG
RNAcentral lists this long non-coding RNA (556 nucleotides) under Chinchilla lanigera (long-tailed chinchilla). Its description in RNAcentral is "lncRNA (ENSCLAG00000028940.1)". Lineage: Eukaryota; Metazoa; Chordata; Mammalia; Rodentia; Chinchillidae. The record is from RNAcentral.